This 6351-nucleotide long non-coding RNA is filed under the name Arabidopsis lyrata. Its description in RNAcentral is "long non-coding RNA (ALYR_LNC001474)". Lineage: Eukaryota; Viridiplantae; Streptophyta; Magnoliopsida; Brassicales; Brassicaceae. The record is from RNAcentral.
UUGUAGACCGCAUGGUCGGAUGGACUCCAUAACCGUGGGCCUAAUCCAUAUUCUAGAAGGCCCAUGUCCAUGUUCUAGAGGAUUCUCCUUAUGACGGUCUAUGUUAUACUUAGUGGGCUUUUGGGCUUUAGGGUUUACUAGCCCAAUGGGGAUUUGUCUCCCCUUGUCAUGUAUAAAUAUGUAUUGAAACCUCAUUCAUUAAUCAAUAAGAACAACAAGUUCUAUAACACGUUAUCAGCACGAGUUGCUCUUAACAAAAACCCUAAAACCCUAAACCUAAACUCGCCGAACUCGUCCACCGCUUGAAGCUACCAAACCAACGACUACUCGCUUUGCUCCUUGAUCAGCGAUCUCCUCCUAGCACCACACGUUCGUGAUAAGCUUGAUAACCGAGGUCUUUAGCUCCCGGUUCUAAUCCAUACAACCCCCAAAAGGUGAAAGGUAAAAACCAAAACCCUAAAAGCUAAAGAACCGAUCUUGAAUUUGAAUCUAACAAACGGUGGAAACCUAAAACGAAUCUGUAGUGUAUAAACGAUUGCUUUUGCUUGUGAAAAACCGAUCAUGAAUUUGAACCUAACAAACGGUGGAAAUCUAAAACGAAUCUUGAUUGCUUAAGUGAUUGCUUUUUGCUUGUGAAAACCGAUCAUGAACUUGAAAUUAACAAACGGCUAAGACACUAAAACGAGUCUUGAUUGUUCAAGUGAUUGCUAUUGAAAACUGAUCAUGAACUUGAAUCUAACGAACGGUGGAAACCUAAAACGAACCUUGAAUGUUUAAAGUAAUCUUAUUGCUUGUAAGAUCCGUUUAUUUCAAUCGUUUAGGUUGCUAGAAAAAGGUUGAUUAUUGCUUAAACUAAACUCGCCUAAGUUGCUAGAGAAGUUUUAAUUAUCUAAACCUAAAAAUCGCAAAUUACAUAGGUUACGCAAAUUACAUGGGUUACGCAAAUUAUUUGCUUAGGGCGUUUUUAAUUUGAUUGUUUCUUUGAUUGAUUACAUGCAUAAGUUGUUAGAAACCCUAAAACUAAAAUUGCAUGAACCCUAGAAAACUUAGAUAAUCCUAAAACCCUAAAUAAAAUAGGAAACCCUAGAAAAUAGGAAAUCUUUAAAAUCCUAAAUCUUAGGGAUAAUAGAAAAUCCUAAAACCCUAAAUAAAAUAGGAAAUAUCAAAACCCUAAAUAAUAGGAAAUCUCAACAACCCUAAAUCCUAAAUAAAAUAGGAAAUCCUAAAAACCCUAAAAUCUUAAAUAGGAAAUCUUAAAACUCUAAAACCCUAAUCAAAUUAGGAAAUAUUUAGAAAAGGAAAUUUAAUCCUAAAAAGGGAAGUCAAAUCCUUAAGUAAUCGAUUCAUAGUUCGGUUUUAAAACCGCAUGACAUUAACGAUUACAUGAUAUUGACUCAAAUUCCCCUUUUGCUUGUAGAUGUCGAAAACAAAGAACCUCAAGUUUUCUGCACUUAAUGUUUCCGGCGACAAUUACUUACAAUGGGCAUUGGACAUUAAGAUAGCCCUUGAAUCCAAAGAUCUCGCCGAGUGCAUUAUGAAAAACAACGAGUGUGAGAAGAGGUCGAAGUUUAAGGCGAUUGCGUUUAUACGCCAUCACCUAGCAGAGAGCCUUAAGAAUCAGUACCUUACUAUCGAGGAUCCUCUCGACUUUUGGGUCGAGUUGAAGAAUCGAUACGAUCACCAAAAGACGGUACUCUUACCGAAAGCCCAAUAUGAUUGGAAAAACCUCAGGAUCCAGGAUUUCAAAUCCGUGGAGGAGUAUAACUCCGAGCUUUUUUUAAGAUUGUCUCAAUCCUGAGGCUAUGUGGUGAAAAGGUGACUGAUGAUACCUUGCUUGAGAAAACAUACUCAACAUUCCACCCUAAUAAUGUGGUACUUCAGCAACAAUACCGUGGAAUGAAAUUCAAAACAUAUGCAAGUUUGAUCUCCUGCUUACUCCUUGCUGAAAAGAAUAAUGAGCUAUUACUAAUGAAUAGCUCAAUGAGACCUCCAGGAUCCACACCGUUGCCGGAAGCCCAUAAGGCCGAAAUAGCCAAAGAACCUCGAGAGACCAAAGGAACCAACUACGUCCAUAGAGGGUAUCACGGUCGUGGCCGUGGUAGAGGACGUGGUGGUGGUCGUAGCAACCAUAACUCCUACGGCCGAGGAAACCACCAUGGUGGUAGAGGCCGUGGGAACAAUGGUCGAGGUCGUGGCCGCGGGAUCUUCAAACCGCAACACAAGGCCAAGUCCGUUUGCCAUAGAUGCGGAAUGGACAAUCAUUGGGCUAAGACGUGCAGGACAUCUAAACAUCUAAUCGAUGCUUAUCAAGAAAUGAUAAAGAAGAAUCCCGAAGCUAAUUUGGCUCAUCUCGAUGGUGAUGGAGAUUUUGACCAUGAGAACGAUGACCAAUUGGAGUAUGAGACUUCGGAUUGCUUAAGAGAGGAAAAUUAAAUUCGACAUCUUGUGUUUUAAUUUGCUUUAUGCUUUAAUUUACUUUAUGUUUCCAUGCUCUAUGUUUUUUUGAAUUCUAUUCUAUGUCUUUGAAUUCUAUUAUUUCUUGGAUUUAAAUUUAAAGUUUAAUUUGCCUUUAAUAUAAUCGUUUACUUUAUUAUCUAAAGACAUAUUUCUUGUCAAUGGCCGAUGACAAGAAUAUACUUGUGGUGGAUAGUGGAUCGAACCACACAAUUUUAAAAGACAAAAGAUACUUUAUAAAUCUAACAUUGAAAAAUGCCAAUAUUAGCACCAUAGCGGGUAUAGCUAGUCUUAUUAAGGGCCAUGGUCAAGCCCAUAUCCUUUUAUCAAAGGGCACGCAUCUUGAAAUAAGCGAUGCCCUAUAUUCACCCAGCUCGAAGAGGAGCUUGUUAAGUUUCAAAGAUAUAAGAUUGAAUGGUUUCCAUAUUGAAACAAAGGGUGAAGGGAACAAAGAGAUCACCCAAGGACAUAAGAAAGUCCUAGAGACUAUACCCGCAUUAUCCACUGGUCUCUACUAUGCUAAAAUCGAUAUGAACGAAGCUAAUAUGGCAAUGAACAAAGAGUUCAUUGAGAAAUUCACUUUAUGGCAUGACCGGCUUGGCCAUCCGGGUCAUAGUAUGAUGCGUAAACUAAUAACUAAUUCAAAGGGGCACACCCUAAAAAGAGAAAAGAGUUAUCCCUAAGAAUCUCACGUGUGAAGCAUGUUCACAAGGGAAACUCAUUAUAAGGCCAUCACCGGCUAAGGUAAAUAAAGAGACCUUAAAAUUUCUGGAAAGGAUACAAGGAGAUAUAUGUAUGGUCCUCAUUGAUGCAUCGACAAGAUGGUCGCAUGUUUGUCUCCUAUCUACUAGAAACCAAGUGUUUGCUAGGUUAUUGGCCCAGAUAAUAAGACUGCGAGCCCACUUUCCAGAUUUUCCGCUUAAGACUAUAUGUCUAGACAAUGCCGGUGAAUUCACGUCCCAAGCGUUUAAUGACUACUGUAUGUCCAUGGGGGUAAGUGUGGAACAUCCCGUAGCACAUGUACAUACACAGAAUGGAUUAGCGGAAUCCUUCAUUAAACGAAUUCAAUUGAUAGUUCGACCAUUACUCAUGAGGUCGAAGCUUCCAGUAGCCGCUUGGGGACACACUGUUUUACAUGCAUCAGAGCUUAUACGCAUAAGGCCAUCUAGUGAACAUAAAUAUUCACCAUCCCAAUUACUCAUGGGUCAUGAGCCAGACAUAUCCCAUCUAAAGACUUUCGGGUGUGCCGUAUAUAUACCGAUUGCUCCACCAUAUAGAACAAAGAUGGGACCUCAAAGGAGGAUGGGAAUAUAUGUUGGAUUUGAUUCUCCCACCAUUAUUAAGUAUCUAGAGCCAACUACGGGUGAUCUAUUUAAGGCUAGAUACGCGGAUUGUCAUUUUAAUGAAUCCGAGUUCCCUACUUUAGGUGGAGAGAUGAACAAGCUGGGUAAAGCAAUAAAAGAAAUAUAAUGGAAUCAAACAUCCUUAAAUUGGCAAGAUCCUCGGACUCUGGCAUGAGAAUCAGAGGUCCAUAAGAUUAUACAUUUGAAAAGCUAGCUAAUCAAUUGCCAGAUUCCUUUGCUGACCCAAAGAAAGUUACAAAAACGUAUAUACCAGCUUGUAAUGCACCAGUACGUAUUGAUAUCCAAAAGGGAAUCAAUGAAAUUGCUACCGAGUCUAACACACGAAAGAAACGUGGUAGACCAAUAGGUUCCAAAGAUAAAAAUCCUCGAAAAUCAAAGAAAGGUGCAAUAGGAAUCCGAGGUUACUAAGGAAACCAUCCCAGACAUGGAGAUAAGGCCGGCCGGCUCUAAGGUACAGGUACCAUAUAAUGUAGCUUGGGACGCCAAGCUGCAAAGUAUUAAAGGUCCUGACCAUAAUAAAUCUCAAAUCGAUUAUAUCAUGUCUGGAACAUAAUGGAACAUAUAAGAAAUGUCGACAUAAGAUGAUUUUGCAUGCAAGGUAGCACUUGAAUUUAUGAAUAUAAAUGAGGAUCAGGAGCCCACGUCUAUACUAGAGUGCACUCAAAUACUUGAUUGAUUAAAUGGUACAAGACCAUAAAACGUGGAGCUAAGAAUCAUUAAGAAAAGGAAUGAGUUUGGUCCGACCUUAAGGACACCAUUCGAUGUAAAAACCAGUAGGACACAAAUGGGUCUUUGUGAAGAAGAGAAAUGAGAAUAAUGAAAUCGUGAGAUAUAAGGCACGGCUUGUAGCACAAGGAUUCUCACAAAGACCGGGGAUAGAUUAUGAAGAAACAUACUCCCCUGUGGUGGAUGCUAAGACAUUUAAAUUUUGCUAAGUCUGGCUAUAUAAAGAAAAAGACUUGAUUUGCGGCUAAUGGAUGUAAUGCCUGCAUAUUUAUAUAAGUCCACUGGAUAAUAUAUAUGAGAUUACUAGAGGGUAUUGAGCUCAAAGAUAAAGAUAAGAAAGGGUCUCGAGACCAAUACUGCAUAAGGCUGAACAAAUCACUUUAUGGACUGAAACAAAGUGGACGCAUGUGGUACAAUAGAUUAAGCGAGUACCUAGUCAGAGAAGGUUAUAAGAAUGAUCCCAUCAGUCCAUGUAUCUUCAUAAAGAAAUUUGCAAACAAAGGGUUUGUGAUAAUAGCAGUAUAUGUGGAUGAUUUAAACAUCCUUGGAACCUCUGGGGAAAUCGCCCAAACAGUCAAAUAUCUAAAGAAAGAAUUCGAGAUGAAAGACCUAGGCAAGACAAAAUUUUGUUUGGGAUUGCAACUUGAGUACGUGAAUAAUGGAAUCCUUGUGCAUCAAAAGGCAUAUACUGAAAAAGUACUCAAGAGAUUCAAUAUGGACCAGGCCCACCCAUUGAGCAGCCCAAUGGUGGUGAGAAGCCUCGGAUUGGAUAGUGAUCCAUUCGGUCCAAAGAAGGAUGAGGAAGAAGUUCUCGAUCCUGAAGUGCCAUACCUUAGUGCCAUAGGAGCGUUAAUGUACUUGGCUAGCCACACUAGACCAGACAUAUGUUUUGCCGUGAACCUCCUUUGUCUAAAUUUAGUUCAUGAUCAACCCAAAGGCACUAGAAAGGUUUGAAGGAAGGUUUGGUUAAAUUUUAAAUUCUAUUCUUCCUAUGUUUGUUUAUUUGGGUUUUAUUCUAUACUGAUCUAACCAAAGAAGGUCUAGUUUGCUUUGGUUUAGUUUGUUUUGCUAAUGCAGGUAAAAUCAGAUUAUGGCAUGGUCAAUAAAUAGGAACUAUUUAAGGGUACGUAGGCAGCCUUCUUCAAGGCGUAGCUACUACAACAUCAAAGACCAUCAUAUGAGGAGACAACACAGCCUGUAUCGCUCAGCUCAAGGACGGCUACAUCAAGGGAGAUCGGACGAAGCACAUUCUAACCAAGUUCUUCUUCACGCAUGACUUGCAAAGGGAUGGAGAAGUUCGAGUGGUACAAGUUCGAUCCAGCGACAACUCAGUCGAUCUCUUCACCAAGGCGUUACCAACAUCGACAUUGAGGAAGCUCACGCAUCAAAUUGGAAUGCGGAGACUUAAGGACUUGCAGGGAUGACCAAAACAGGGGGAGUAAUACGUGCUGUACUCUUUUUCCUUAACCAUGGUUUUGUCCCAAUGGGUUUUCCUGGUAAGGUUUUAAUGAGGCAGCAUCCCCGAGCGUAUUACUGAGAUCCUUUGGCAUCUACACGGUUAUGUCAUCCAAGGGGGAGUGUUGUAGACCGCAUGGUCGGAUGGACUCCAUAACCGUGGGCCUAAUCCAUAUUCUAGAAGGCCCAUGUCCAUGUUCUAGAGGAUUCUCCUUAUGACGGUCUAUGUUAUACUUAGUGGGCUUUUGGGCUUUAGGGUUUACUAGCCCAAUGGGGAUUUGUCUCCCCUUGUCAUGUAUAAAUAUGUAUUGAAACCUCAUUCAUUAAUCAAUAAGAACAACAAGUUCUAUAA